Molecule: transfer RNA, 76 nt
Filed under: Fastidiosipila sanguinis
Lineage: Bacteria; Bacillati; Bacillota; Clostridia; Eubacteriales; Oscillospiraceae
Description: tRNA-Lys
Rfam family: tRNA
About the family: Transfer RNA (tRNA) molecules are approximately 80 nucleotides in length. Their secondary structure includes four short double-helical elements and three loops (D, anti-codon, and T loops). Further hydrogen bonds mediate the characteristic L-shaped molecular structure. tRNAs have two regions of fundamental functional importance: the anti-codon, which is responsible for specific mRNA codon recognition, and the 3' end, to which the tRNAs corresponding amino acid is attached (by aminoacyl-tRNA synthetases). tRNAs cope with the degeneracy of the genetic code in two manners: having more than one tRNA (with a specific anti-codon) for a particular amino acid; and 'wobble' base-pairing, i.e. permitting non-standard base-pairing at the 3rd anti-codon position.
Source: RNAcentral
GGUCCUUUAGCUCAGUUGGUAGAGCAGCAGACUCUUAAUCUGUGGGCCCAGGGUUCGAGCCCCUGAAGGACCACCA